UAUUUUGCACUAUUGCGGCAGAAGAAUUAUUUGUUUGCUCCGUUCGUGUCUUGUUUAUCGAAUUAUUCUUUGUGCAAGUGUACUUCUAUUUGUAUGUGUAUGUGUGUGUGUGUGCGUUAUCCUGAUACCUAAAACAUCAUUAUCCUACUAGCACCUCAGACGACAAAAAUUGUACUACUGCACAUGUUGAUGUAGGCAGCUGUUUACGGGAUAUAAUAUUGCUGCCAUUACUAUACACGAUUUGAUUGCCUAAUCGUACAAUUUGAUGUACUCAGCAACACCAAAGAUCGACUAGUUUACCCAGUCAUGGCUGAAUGGGUCUCUGACCAGUCUUUCGACAACAUCGUUUUGUACCCGAACGAAAUGGUGGAGCUACCGCCGACGAGUAAGGUCGUGUGGUCAUUAGCCGACGAGGACAUGACCUCUGGGCAGUGCGCCGAAGAAUGCAUGAAGGAGGAAUGGUGUUCCUCCUUUUUUGUCGACUUCAGUAAAAACCUGUGCCUUCUGCACGAGGUCGUCUUCUUCACUCCUGAUACAGGAGGUCGUAAGGUAUCUGCCCCUGGUGCCAGGUACUUCAGACUAGUUGACAGUCGCUGCAACUUAAGCAAAGGGCUGUACCGCUGGCGGGAAGAGGAUCUGUGCUUCAAGCUGCUCCCCCCAGGCACGAUAAAACAAGGGCCUUCCGAAGAUGCCGAUGCCUAUUGUCGGGAUAAGCUUGGAGGCAGCUUGAUAAAGCUAUCAACAAUCCGCAGGACUGAAUGGAUUAGAAAAAUCUUGCUUCAAUGGCACUCUUCUUCAAGUUCUCGGUCUGUUGCCAUCGACUUUGUCAAGGGUAAAAUACCUGCGCAAAUCUGGUGUCCUGCCAAACUUUCUGUCGUUAUUGCGCCCCGUAGUAUCCCAGUGCUACACGAAGAAUGCGAUUUUAAACUAGAAUAUAAAGGCUAUGAAAAGGGGUUCUACUUUCUGUGUGAAAUAUUUUAGAUAAUAAAUACUGUGAGUGUACAUCCUCUUAAUUUCAGCUAGGUUGUUUUAUAUUGUUACUUGUAAUCUUCACAAUGUUUGUGAUCAACCAAACUGUAAUAAUAAUUAGUAUAGUUACACGCUAACAGUUUGGUGACGGCAAUAAACGAUUUAGAAGAGACUUCACUCCGUGUUUCCAUGUCUGGGUCUUUUCAACCUGUCAUCCACCUUUCUCUCUCUCUACACUUUAUACUGCAGUCACGCUAUAUACAAAAUGCGCUCAUGAUAAUGUACACAUGUACAAUCACAGCUCGUUACCUUGCCAACCCCACCUCUUGCCAUAUUGUAUGACAGAACAGAUUCCUCCAACUCUUAAUUAAACUACAGGAUAAAACCUGCUCCAGGUAUAAUGAAAUUGCCGAAGUCACCACACAGACAGCUUGCUAACUAACAUGACAACGUGAAUAGACUGUAACCUGCCUUCUCAGAUUUGACAUGAAGAAACUAAAGCAGUUGGACGAAAUAAUGAAUUCAACGUUAAUGAAGGAUACACAACACACUGACAUGGCAUUAAUCUCGUAAUGUUCUUUUCCAAUUAUAAACUAAUAAUAAUCGCAGAGUACUUAUAAGGCGCAUGACCUAUGGAAUGUUGACUCCCAUAGUGCAAUCGCUGGCACCGUUACUUGUGACGUGGCAGACAGGUCCACUGUCACUGCCACUGGGGACUGUGAGAUGAUGCCGAUGUCACUCUGUGUUGUACAGUAGCAGUAUGUAACAAUUAUGCAAACAUAAUUACAUUUUCGUGGGAAAAUGCUGUCAUCAUGUUCAGGGUUUCUACUUUCAUCCUGAGCUAUGAUACAGCUCCGAAAUGAAGAGCGUCAUUCAUCCACGUUUCCAUGGCAUCAGCAUUUCCGAAACUGUUUACUUCAUUCCCAGACAGCAAAAUAACAAGUUCGACUCUAAUACAAGUAAAAACAAGUUAAUGGCACGAUAUGAAAUGUUUCGCCUUGGAAAGAAAUUUCUGGAUCACGUGAUGAAAAUCGUUACGUACUGAAGGUAGUGAGGCAGCGCCCCCUAACGAAUAUAGUGUGAUGACUAAAAACUGAUGUUGUACAUGACGUCGACGUAUCUGUUAAUCUGGCGUUAGUGAUAAUUAGUGUCUAGAAACAUCAGAACUAGAACACAUCUUUAUUAUAGACACUAACAAUGUUUCUCAACACCUGGUGUGGGUCGCUGAGGAUACAGCUGACAUUUUGCAUCUUUCUUUCUAUGUUUUCGCUUGAAAUGGGGAAGGAAUGCAACGACACGUAUAGUUCAGUCAUCGACUGGGUCAGCGAUCCUUCUUUCAACGACAUCAUCGUAAAACUCAGCGAUAAUGUCAUUCAAAAACCCUGGUCUGCCACUGUGAAAGCAGGCAACUUGACUACGUGCGCCGAAAAGUGUAUUCAGGUACCUGAGUGCUCCUCCUUCUUUGUGGACAUCCAGGGCAAAGAAUGUAUUCUACAUGAAAUCAUUUUCCUCUCGAGUGAUGCCGGAAAUCAAACGGUGGUUGCCGACGGUGCCAGGUACUUCAAGCGAUCUGAAGAUUCGUGUCCUGCCAGUGAAGGAUUCUUCCGCUGGCGAAGUGAUGGACUGUGCUUCAAGGCUUUUCUAAACGUUUCCCUGCCAACCUUCCAGUGAUUUAGGGAGUCGUAUUGCAAGGAGAAAGUCAAGGGCGACCUGCUGCGAUUGAAUUUCAAAACAAAUUUCAUCUGGUUUUUGAAAGUUCUAAUGCAACUUCCACCUAAAUAUUAUAACUACGCUCGAUUUAGGGACCAGACCCUCAGACCACACAUGUGUCGAAUCCCAGUACAAAACGACAUACAGGUUGGCUCGGAACUGGACUGUUUAUACCUAAAAGACGACAGUCUACUCAGACAAGAGGAAAAUUAUAACAUCUUCUGUGAAGUGUUUUGAUUCCAUGAUUUAAUGAAAUUAUUGAUAAAACGUCGCAUUUGGUUGGAAUGAAAAUGUUCUGAACAGUUACGAAUUAACUUUACAUAUAUUACAAUCUAUGUCAACUGAUCUAUAGUAUAUAUAU
Molecule: long non-coding RNA, 3040 nt
Organism: Pomacea canaliculata
Lineage: Eukaryota; Metazoa; Mollusca; Gastropoda; Architaenioglossa; Ampullariidae
Exons: 6
Source: RefSeq, a predicted model, not a curated record